UACGAAGGGGGCUAGCGUUGCUCGGAAUCACUGGGCGUAAAGGGUGCGUAGGUGGUCCGUUAAGUCAGUUGUGAAAUCCCCGGGCUCAACCCGGGAACUGCUUCUGAUACUGGCGGACUUGAGGCCAGUAGGGGUCACUAGAACUGACGGUGGAGCGGUGAAAUGCGUAGAUAUCGUCAGGAAUGCCGGUGGUGAAGACGGGUGACUGGGCUGGUUCUGACACUGAGGCACGAAAGCGUGGGGAGCGAACGGG
This 253-nucleotide ribosomal RNA is filed under the name uncultured bacterium. RNAcentral's name for it is "partial 16S ribosomal RNA". It matches the Rfam family "Bacterial small subunit ribosomal RNA", at positions 524 to 776 of the family's 1533-position model. The record is from RNAcentral.